UGGGGGAUCGUCUAGCGGCAAGACGCGCGGCUCUGGACCGUGAAACGGAGGUUCGAGUCCUCCUCCCCCAG
Molecule: transfer RNA, 71 nt
Filed under: Thermoleophilaceae bacterium
Lineage: Bacteria; Bacillati; Actinomycetota; Thermoleophilia; Thermoleophilales; Thermoleophilaceae
Description: tRNA-Gln
Rfam family: tRNA
About the family: Transfer RNA (tRNA) molecules are approximately 80 nucleotides in length. Their secondary structure includes four short double-helical elements and three loops (D, anti-codon, and T loops).
Source: RNAcentral